This 460-nucleotide unclassified non-coding RNA is filed under the name Hevea brasiliensis (rubber tree). The record is from RNAcentral. Lineage: Eukaryota; Viridiplantae; Streptophyta; Magnoliopsida; Malpighiales; Euphorbiaceae.
GUGAGUAGUAAAUGCUAGUUACCCAAAGAAACAAAAGGCCUCAUAAACCACGUAAUGUAACUCAGCUCAUAUUUGGUUUAUUUUGUGAAGUAAGAGGAAAGAAAAGGAGAUCAGAUUUUCCUUCUAAGACAUGUUUCAAUGGUAUCCAACAAGAAGAAUAUUUAUGUUGAGAGUUAUUAAACUGAACAACAUUCUAGCAUCUGCUCAAAAUAAGUUAAAUAUCCUUAACCUUAAGUUCGUUAUGCACAUGGCUUUGUGUUCAAGAACCAUCACAUUCUUGGAAAGCCUGUCAACACACGCCUCCGUAUUAUGUUUUCCUCACUAAGUGAAGCUAGAAAGAAGUGAUACUUACUAUCUUCAGCCCAAUUAAUCACAGAAAAAUCAGAAGUUAGAUCUGAUACAUUGUCAUUUUUGAACUUUUUUAUCUUUCAAAAUGUUGGAACAGCUAAAAAGAUUCAUA